GAAAGUAAUGAAGGGCGUACGGUGGAUGCCUAGGCUCUUACAGGCGAUGAAGGACGUGAUAAGCUGCGAAAAGCCGCGGUGAGGCGCAAAUGGCCCUUGACCCGCGGAUCUCCGAAUGGGACAACCCAAUAUCUUGAAGAGAUAUUAUCCCGCCGAUGCGGGAGGCGAACGCGGGGAACUGAAACAUCUUAGUACCCGCAGGAAAAGAAAAUAAAAAAUGAUUCCCCCAGUAGUGGCGAGCGACCGGGGAACAGCCCAAACCGACGUUGUCUCGGCAUCGUCGGGGUUGUAGGACCGCGCCAUCGCAAGAAAGGCCGUGAGUGGAAGCGACUGGAAAGCCGCGCCAUAGAGGGUGACAGCCCCUUACACGAAGCAGCCUGAAGCGUAGCGGACUCCUGAGUAGCGCGGGACACGAGUAAUCCUGUGUGAAUCCGCCGGGCCCAUCCGGCAAGGCUAAAUACUCGUAAGAGACCGAUAGUGAACCAGUACCGUGAGGGAAAGGUGAAAAGGACCCCUUGCAGGGGAGUGAAACAGUUCCUGAAACCGUACGCCUACAAGCGGUCGGAGCAUCUUGAAUGAUGUGACGGCGUGCCUUUUGCAUAAUGAACCUACGAGUUGCCGUCACCAGCGAGGUUAAGUGCGAUGACGCACCGAGCCGCAGCGGAAGCGAGUCUUAAAAGGGCGCAAUAGUUGGUGGAGGCAGACGCGAAACCGAGUGAUCUACACUUGUCCAGGAUGAAGUCCCGGUAACACGGGAUGGAGGUCCGCACCAAUAAGCGUUGAAAAGCUUCUGGAUGAGGUGAGUGUAGGAGUGAAAGGCCAAUCAAACUCGGAGAUAGCUCGUACUCCCCGAAAGGCAUUUAGGUGCCGCCUGUGGCGUUCCCGACGUGAGGUAGAGCGACUGAUAGGAUGCGAGGGCUUCACCGCCUAUCAAGUCCUGACAAACUCCGAAUGCACGUCGGCCAAGCCAUGGAGUAAGGGCAUGGGUGCUAAGGUCCGUGCCCGAGAGGAGAAGAAUCCAGACCACCGGCUAAGGUCCCGAAAUACUGGUUAAGUUAGACUAACGCAGUCCGGCCCCCAAGACAGCUAGGAUGUUGGCUUGGAAGCAGCCAUUCAUUCAAAGAGUGCGUAACAGCUCACUAGUCGAGGAGCUGGGCGUGGAUAAUAAUCGGGUAUAAAACCAGUUACCGAAGCCGUGGGAUGCAUAAGCAUCGGUAGGGGAGCAUUGCAUGCAGCUUGGAAGGCGGGGCGCGAGCCCCUCUGGAGCGCAUGGAAACGCAAAUGUAGGUAUAAGUAACGACAAGGGGGGUGGGAUGCCCCCCCGCCGAAAGACCAAGGUUUCCUGAACAACGCUAAUCGGUUCAGGGUCAGUCGGGUCCUAAGCAUAAGCCGUAUGGCGAUGGCGAUGGAUGAAACGGUUAAUAUUCCGUUACUGUCUUGGUGUGUGACGCGGCGACGGAGUAGUGACACGGCCGCCUCCUGACGGAAAAGGGGGUUGAAGCGCAAAGGUGUUGAGGAAGGCAGGCAAAUCCACCUUCCGAGCCGAAGCGCGAUAGUACGCCGGGCCCUUUGGGGCAAGGCGAUAGUGCCGGUAAUCAGACUUCCAAGAAAACCCGCUAAACUUCAGCACCAAGUCACCCGUACUCCAAACGGACACACGUGGUCGGGUAGAAUAUACUAAGGCGCUUGGGAGAUUCACGGUUAAGGAACUAGGCAAAUUGACCCCGUACCUUCGGAAUAAGGGGUCCUCGCUUUUGCGAGGCGCAGAGAAUAGGUCCAGGCAACUGUUUAACAAAAACACAGGGCUGUGCCAAUUUGAAAGAAGAAGUAUACAGCCUGACACCUGCCCGGUGCCGGAAGGUUAAGAGGAGAGCUCAUCAGCGAUGAGAAGGCUUGAAUUGAAGCCCCGGUAAACGGCGGCCGUAACUAUAACGGUCCUAAGGUAGCGAAAUUCCUUGUCGGGUAAGUUCCGACCUGCACGAAUGGUGUAAUGAUCCGGACACUGUCUCAACCGUGAUCCCAGUGAAAUUGUAGUAUCGGUGAAGAUGCCGAUUACCCGCGAUGGGACGAAAAGACCCCGUGAACCUUUACUAUAGCUUAACGUUGUACCCGGGCUGUCGAUGUGUAGGAUAGGCCGGAGGCGUCGAGGCGGGCACGCCAGUGUCCGUGGAGCCGUUGUUGAAAUACGGCCCUUUGGCCGUCUGGGUACUAACUUGGUGAAUCCAAGGACCGCGUUUGG
This 2239-nucleotide ribosomal RNA is filed under the name gut metagenome. RNAcentral's name for it is "bacterial LSU rRNA". It matches the Rfam family "Bacterial large subunit ribosomal RNA", at positions 1 to 2261 of the family's 2925-position model. The record is from RNAcentral.